This is an RNA transcript of Anopheles funestus (African malaria mosquito), 2801 nucleotides long. It is a transcript of the gene named probable phenylalanine--tRNA ligase, mitochondrial, with no coding region annotated. Lineage: Eukaryota; Metazoa; Arthropoda; Insecta; Diptera; Culicidae. The transcript is spliced from 4 exons. The record is from RefSeq and is a predicted model, not a curated record.
AUUGAAUGUUUAUUUACUUUCGUAGCCCACAAGUGAAGCGAUUGUUGUGCAACUACAUUUCUCAAAUGUUAAUUUUCAAUUUCCGACAAAUUGUGACUCGUGCGAGGCGGUCACUUCCUACCACGAGGGUUUGCUGCGAUGGUAAACUACUGCAUACACGCUACUACGGCAGUCAGGCAAAGAUUAACAAAGACACAAUCGAUCUGUACCGGCAGCAGUACAUCCGUGACUCGUGGACGAACCUAACGCCGAAGGUUUUGUCCCAUCUGGACCGCAACCUCCAUCUGCAGCGAAACCAUCCACUGGCGAUCGUGCGGGAAAAGAUUGUGAAAUAUUUUUACGGUGCUUACUUGAGUCCGCGGGGAAACCCACUCUUUAGUGUGUACGAUAACCUUAGCCCGGUGGUGUCGGUAGAGCAAAACUUUGACCAGUUGCUGAUACCCCAGGACCAUCCGAGUCGGGCCAAGAGCGACUGUUACUACGUGAACAAAGAUUAUUUGCUGCGUGCUCAUACCACCGCCCAUCAGGUCGAAUUAAUCCAGGCCGGGUUGGAUAAUUUUCUUGUUGCCGGUGAUGUGUACCGGCGCGAUGAGAUCGAUGCAACACAUUAUCCGGUGUUUCAUCAGCUUGAUGCGGUUCGCAUCGUGCACCAGGACAAGCUGUUUGAGCGCAAUCCGGAGUUGAAAGUCCACGAAACGCACUACAAAACACAUCUGUCGAACGGAACCGCAUCGACGAGCACUGGUAGCCCUUUGGCGGACUGCAUCGACCAGCACAAACAGCCAUGCCAUACGCUCGAAGCGGUAAAGCUUUGCGAGCACGAGAUGAAGAAGGUUUUGGUUGGGCUUGUCCAGAAGCUGUUCGGCGCAGACAUCAAGUACCGUUGGGUGGACGCAUACUUUCCCUUCACGCAACCUUCGUGGGAGCUGGAAAUAUAUUUCAACGGCAGCUGGCUCGAAAUACUCGGUUGUGGCAUUACGCGGAAUGAAAUACUCGAUCGGGCCGGGGUGCAGAACUCGAUUGCUUAUGCGUUCGGAGUAGGGUUGGAGCGUUUGGCGAUGAUUCUGUUCGACAUACCGGACAUACGACUGUUCUGGAGUACGGAUAGUGGCUUUCUGAAUCAGUUCCGGGACGAUCGAAUCGUAAAGUAUAAACCAAUCUCGUCGUACCCACAGUGCACCAAUGAUUUAUCGUUCUGGCUACCGGAAGGUAUGUCGGUCGAACAAUUUGCCCUCAACGAUUUUUACGAUAUAGUGCGAAACGUUGGUGGUGACAUUAUUGAGCAGGUUACGCUUAUCGAUCGCUUUACUCAUCCAAAAACGGGCAAGAGUAGUCUUUGCUUCCGCAUCGUCUAUCGUCACAUGGAGCGAACAUUGACACAGGCGGAGGUGAACAUAGUGCAUGCAAAGAUAGGGUCAGAACUGGUCGAAACUUACCGUGUUAGCAUACGAUAAAGAAUGCAAUAUUAAAGCUAUAAGAUCCGAACGGAGUGAAAUGUGCAAUGAAACUAAUUUCGAUGCUUAAACCUUGAGUGGAUGGACAUGGUUUUGAAGAAUUAAAAUGAGCAAAAGAGAUAGUGACCAUAUCCACUCACAAGGACCACGUGAGAGCCUUAUAAACGAUGAAUCUAUACCGACGACAUCGCCGGCGGACAAUCCUAACGAUCCCAUAGAAAGAAACAUUCUAGUCGAACAAGAUGAGGAACUUAAAAGGCAACAUGUGACAUCCAUGAUUACAAAUUCGAUAGCACACACCACUAUGCAUGGCGAGUUGUAUAAUACGUAUUUGGCCAUAUCGAUUAUUCUUCGGCAAUUCAAAAAGAAGAACCAGUUUAUUGUCGCCACAGAAGUGUCGGAAGCAGGAAAAUUCGACGACAUUUUAUACCACCAGCAAUCGCCAAACGGCACCAGCACUUUGUGCAUACAAGCGAAGCAUAAAAAGACGGACGGGAUGUUCAUAAAGGUAGAGGAUCUAUGCGCUGCCAAAGGUAUGUACUCGGUUCCCACGUAUUUUUCAUCAUUUCUUGAGAUUGAUCCGGAACUAACUAAAGGUGAAUCUGAGUCCCAUAAAGAUGAACACAAAACUCAAUAUGCCAUUUGUACCAACGCUAAACUCGAUAAGAACGUCAAUGCCACGAAAAUCGAGCCACAGGAAGAUGAUACUUUACAGUUUUGUGACGAUAUACGAGCAACAUGUUAUCAGUUGCACCGUGACAUACCUGAGCUGACGGAAUGCUUAAAAAAAUCGUGUAAAGAUGUGUUUAAAAAUGAUUCAGAUUUUGAUGAGAAAAAGGACGAGUUCUUUAGUAAAUUUCUGCUUAUAUGUAACUCCUACAAUCACAAAGAACUACGUAUAAAAUUGCGGAACCUAUUGCCCGAGUGGUGCGAUGAAGCUCAACGUGAAUUAGUUAUUGAUAAUUUGGUGGGUUUACUGAAUAAUAACGUGUACAACAACCCUCGUUACUACAUAACCCUCGAACGUAUACAACAAUGGUUUUUGGACAAAGAUUUCAACCAAAACAUCAGUGUUUUGAGGCGUCUUUCAGAAGAGCACUUGGAAUCUGGACACAAAAAACAUCCUCAUAUUGAAGUAAAUCCGGAUCGCUUAAAAGAGUUUAAGUUGUAUGAAGUUCUCAAGGAGUCUGGUCCUGGAAUUUAUGAGUUUAACAGCACGCUUGAAUUGACAGUUUACUCUCGCAUUAUAUUUCAAGCGCUAUCACAAUUAAAAUAUGAAACAAUAUUUGUUGAUAGUGCAAAGUAUACAAAACAGCAAGAUAUGAAUGAUGUUCUCAAAGAUUUGCU